Meriones unguiculatus (Mongolian gerbil) is the source of this 4925-nucleotide long non-coding RNA. RefSeq lists it as uncharacterized. The transcript has 2 exons. Lineage: Eukaryota; Metazoa; Chordata; Mammalia; Rodentia; Muridae. The record is from RefSeq and is a predicted model, not a curated record.
UGAGCAUAAAAAUUAACUGGAAUGUUUGCCUACCAGCCCACUUCAGAGACCAGUGAGGGGACACAGGGAACAACCUAAAGCAAGAAAUGGACCUGGUGUUGCAUUUUGUUUGUGGUAUCUUCAAAACAUAAACAGGUCAGGGGAAAACAGCUGCCAAGAUCUGAGAAGGAACCGAGCCUUCCCAAAGAGGUGCUCAGGGUGAAGAGACUGAGAGCUCUGCUGUUCUGUGGAGUGCUUUGGGCAGGGGGAGGAGCGAACUCUCCCAGCACAUCAACAGAUGGACAGAUGGACCAGGAUGUACUCAGAGUCCACGAGACCUUUUAUGCAGACAGGACCAGGGUUCUGUCACCACACGAAGUUACCUUCUCUUCCUUUUGCCGAGUAAAAACAUCAUCACCUUACCUGCUUACUACCUGUCUCCCUCAUCAUUUCACAAGAAAAGACGCUAUCACAAAGGAAGGCAGGAAGGAUAUAAGCUGAGAAGAAAAGAGUUUUUGCCAGUGACCUUCCCUGUGCUGACAAAGGAUGCUCCUCCGCUUUUAUGGUGCGGUGCUGCUCUUAACUUGUGAAAACAUGGGAACAGUCUUGCCCUUCGUGGACAGAUAUUUGGGAACUGCAUCGACGGAGCAGAGGGCAUCGUCCCUAUAGAUGGAUGGCCUUGAGUUUGGCUUUUUGACACUUAUCUACCCGCUGUGUAAUCAAGAAAACAUGAGACUAUACACUCUGAGCUGCAAUCCUUCAUUUGGUAAAGAUUUGCCAUGACACUAAGACAAUUCACACACAUGCUAUAUGCCAUCAUCUUCUGCCUUAUGUGGGACCCGAGACAAACUCCUGUCAUAGACAUUGUGGUUUAUUUUGAUCCUAAGAUCAAAAAUUGUGGUUCUGGCUUUUUAGUAUGAGGUCUAGCAGACUCUGUAAUUUGAUCUGGAAUCCUAAGUUUACAACAAAUUCAGUUCUUAUUCUCUCUCUCUCUCAGCAUGUCCUUGCUUUUUUUUUUUUUUUUUUGUCCCAUGCUUAGUUUUCAAUCUUUAAAUCCAUGUCAGCAGGUCACAUUUUGCACCAGGCAAUAGUAAAGCAAGGUGGAUGGAUGGAGGGCUGGAAGAGGGUGGGAGUGUUCCUGAGAAACAGGCCAGGCAAGGGUUAAGGGCAGCUACUGAAGUGCUGAGGACUUUGCCAAUAGGACUACAGAAGAAUUUAUGCACAGCAAGAAUCCUGGGCUUCUUGACUCAAUAGGUAAAUGCUGAAAGGGACUGAAGCAUAAGCGUAUCUGGCAUACAAGAAGGCCAUUUCCAUUUGGAUUCAAAGCACAUGAGAUAUAGGCUCCAAAGGGCUACUUCCCAGCUGGGUUAGCUCAACAUUUACCUUCACGUUCGACUGACUGAUUGAUGGAGUGUGUGUGUGUGUGUGUGUGUGUGUGUGUGUGUGUGUGUGCGCGCGCUAGAAAUCUGUUCUCUCCUUCUCCCAUGUGGUUCUUGGGGACUGAACACAGCCACAUGCUUUUAACCGCUCAGCCAUCUUGCUGAUAUCAUGUGUGACAAGUUGAGCCAAUCAUUUAAACUCGCAGAGACACAACCUUUUAAACUGUUAAACAAAGGCAGCAGCACAUACUUCUCGAGCUGGCUGAGAAAGCAGAUGGGAGAGGCGGAGUGAAGAAAACCUAGAAACUACAAUAUGAUUCCUGUCAUGUGAUGGGUAAUCAAAACGACUAUUAGCAGAAUCUGAAUAUCAUAGAAAAUAUUUUUGUUGAUGAUCUACAUACGAUAAUCCCUGCUAUGUUUUCUUAUCACUAAAGUCUUAUCUAUAAAACCUGGAUACUAAAUUAUAAAUAGUUCUCUGCAAGUAUGAUUAUUUUGCUCACAAACAUUUGCCUUGUCAUUUAAUGUGGAUUAAAGGAUAUAGCCAUAAAUUGUUGCCAAGGACUUAGUGAUAUCACAGCACAGAGCUAUCGAUUUUCAGACGGACCUUCCUCUCCACAUUUGUAAUUGAAGACUAUCAUUGGCAAAUCCCCUGAGCUUUUGUUUAACUUCAUAUAGUCCUGUAUUUAAAAUGUAGGUUUAUCAAGGCUUUUGGUGGCUUGCCUUUAUUCUUUUGAGACAGGGUCUUCAUGGAGCCUCGGCCUUGAGCUGGCUACGUAGCCGAACUCCUGAUCUUCCUGCCUCCACCUCCCUAGUUGUGGGGUUACAGCAUGUGACUCAAUAGCCCACUACUGCUGCUUCUUUUUUGUUAAUGUAUUCCUCAAAGAGUCACACGUAUUGUAGCAUCGUCCACACUCCCUUCAUUUUUAUGGCCACACCAAAUCCAGUUGAAUGAAUUUAUCACAUUUUAUCCACCAACUCGACACUUAAAGGUAAUUUGGAUGGUUUCCUCCAUUUAAUUAUUAAGGGAUGCUGCCAUGAAUACUUGUGCACAGCUUUUAUUUCUUUUAAGAACAGGCUGGUGGGUGUGAUUCUGGCUCUGAUAUGGUUCCACUGAACUUUCUCAGGUAUGGGAGACAACCUCCUGUGUGGUCCUAUUGACUCUCCAUCACAUCAGCAGUUGUACGAAGGCUUUGACUUCCCUGCAUUCUCAGCCACACGCAUUAGGAUUUGGCUUUAACAUGUAUGAAUGACAUCUUGUGAUUUGGUUCACCUUCAUCCAAUGGCAUUGACGCUAGCCGUCCGUCCAUGUGUUACUUGGAUAUUUACACGUACGUGCUGAUCAGUAUCUAGUCAGGUCCUUUUGUCAUAUUUUAACUGGACUGAGAUUUAAGUCACAAGUCAUUUAUCAGAUAUGUGGCCUGCAUUUCCCCUCUCUCUGUGCUUCCUCGUACUUUCUUGCUAGUACCCUUUGAAGCAGAAAACUUUUUUAAUUUAUGAAGUUCAGUUUGCCUGGUUUCCCCUUUUGGUGCCUCUCUCUUUCUCUGUCUCCCUAUCUCUCUCUGUCCCUCUCUCUGAGGUUGAAUCAAAGAACCCAGUGUCAGAUCCAAAGUAACUGAACUUAAAUUUUUCUCUAAAAGUUUUUCUCAUUUUAGCAUUUAUAUGUGAGGUACUUAACCACUUUUAACUUAAUUUCAUUCAUGCUGUGAAGAGUCCAGGCUCUUCUGGGCGGCUCUUCACUCGCUCUAGCACAAUUUUCAGAGAAGAAUAUUGCUCCCCCACCAAUUUCUUCCACACUUUCUGAGCCAGCUUACCACAACCAUCUGGGUCAAACUCCAGAGUCCAAACUUUAUCCCAUUGAUGUAUUUGUCCUUAUAAUGGCCACAUUCUUUGCUUGCUCUUUCUUUCUAAUGAGUUUUGAAAUCAGGAAAAAUGGACUGUGAAUAUAAAUUAUCCUCAUUCCUUCUUCUUUCCCUGAUGGUUUAGCUAUCUAUGGGCCUAUGAAUUUCCACGUAAAGUUGAAGUUCAACCUAUCACUUUCUACAAAGCAGCAAAUGACACUCUGAUAUGGUGCUCAAGCUGCAAAUCAAUUCGGGAAGUGCAGAUGUCUUCAAAUCAUGAAGGCUCACAGCCCACAGACAGUCCACCUACAGACAGCCUGCAGCCCUUCCAUUUACAGCUUGCAUAUAAUUUUUUCAAUAUUUCAGUUUUUAGACAACAUGUUUUUCAACUUUUUUAGUUCAUAUUUAAAAUUUAAAAUUUUUAAAUAUUUAGAAAUAUUUUUUAAAUUUCUUUAAUUUUAUUUUUUAUGUGCCUUAGUGUGAAGGUGUCAGAUCCCUUGGACCUGGAGUUACAGACAGUUGUGAGCUGCCAUGUGGGUGCUGGGAAUUGAACACGGGUCCAUUUGUAAGAGCAGGUGGUGCUUUUAACCACUGAGCCAUCUCCCCAGCCCCAGAAAUAUUAAAAAAAAUAUUUCUUUGAUGCUAUAUUACACAAUUCAUUUUAUUUCCUUUUCAUUCUUGCAAAUUUGUGGAAUGCACUUGUUAGUUUUAAUAGUUUCGUUUUGAGUCUUAAAUUAUGUUUUUGUAUUAAAAAAAUUAUAUCACACACAAAGAGAACUAGUUCGACUUUCUCCUCUGGAUGACUUUAACCUCAUUUGUUCUUGCCUAAUUGUCCUUGUGGGCAAUUAGCAGGAGUGUAAACACUUAGCAGGAGUGGGAGAAGUGGGGAUGGCUGUUCUGGUUCUGAUCUUAGUCAGUCAUCCACUGCUUAGUCAGCUGUCAGCUGUGGCUGGGUACAGAUUCCCUUUUUCUAGUUCAGGAAGUUUCUCUCUAUUUUUCUAUUCUAUUCUGUUCUAUUUCUAUUCUAUUACUGUCAUGUUUUCUUUCUUUCAUAAAAUGGUGCUGGGUUUCACCAAACACUUUUUCUGCACCUAGGAAUACAAUCUCAUGGUUUUUCUUAUUCUGUCAGCAUAAACCAUGACACUAUUUAAUUUCUGGAUAUUAACAUAAUCUUACAUUCCCAUUAAAAUUCCUUCUUCAUCUUUGUGUAUAAUUGUUUUUAAACAGUUCCUGAGCACUUUUGGAUUAAUAUUUACGUAAAUGUUGAUCUGAAGCUUUGUUUCCUCAUGACACCUUUGCCUGAUUUUGGUGCCAGGGACUUGCUGGCUCAUGCAGUGAGCUAGGUGGGUUGGUCCUUUCUCUAAGUUAUGGACAGGUUUGUGAACGUUUAGUAUUAGUUCUUCUUUAAAUGUUUUGGUAGAAGUCACUUGUGAACUAACCCUUCCAGAGAAAUUCUAACGUUAUGAAAUUAUUUGUUUAGUAUUAUUUCAAUUUGAAAUAUCUAGGGUAAAUUUUGUUUUAUAAGAAUUUGUAUGGGCUGGAGAGAUGGCUCAGCGGUUACGUACACUAGCUGUUGUUCUAGAGGUCCUCGGUUCAAUUCCCAGCAACCACAUGGUGGCUCAGAACCAUCUAUAGCGAGAUCUGGUGCCCUCUUCUGGCCUGCAGGUGUACGUGCAGGCAGAAUACUGUGUAAAUAAUAAAAAAUAAAUCUUUAAAAAUUUUUGCGAAA